UGAACGCUGGCGGCAUGCCUUACACAUGCAAGUCGAACGGCAGCACGGGUGCUUGCACCUGGUGGCGAGUGGCGAACGGGUGAGUAAUACAUCGGAACAUGUCCUGUAGUGGGGGAUAGCCCGGCGAAAGCCGGAUUAAUACCGCAUACGAUCUACGGAUGAAAGCGGGGGACCUUCGGGCCUCGCGCUAUAGGGUUGGCCGAUGGCUGAUUAGCUAGUUGGUGGGGUAAAGGCCUACCAAGGCGACGAUCAGUAGCUGGUCCGAGAGGACGACCAGCCACAGUGGGACUGAGCCACGGCCCAGACUCCUACGGGAGGCAGCAGUGGGGAAUUUUGGACAAUGGGGGAAAGCCUGAUCCAGCAAUGCCGGGUGUGUGAAGAAGGCCUUCGGGUUGUAAAGCACUUUUGUCCGGAAAGAAAUCCUUGGCUCUAAUACAGGCGGGGGAUGACGGUACCGGGAGAAUAAGCACCGGCUAACUACGUG
RNAcentral lists this ribosomal RNA (484 nucleotides) under uncultured bacterium. Its description in RNAcentral is "partial 16S ribosomal RNA". It matches the Rfam family "Bacterial small subunit ribosomal RNA", at positions 30 to 507 of the family's 1533-position model. The record is from RNAcentral.